AACCGAGUCUUAACCGGGCGUUAAGUUGCAGGGUAUAGACCCGAAACCCGGUGAUCUAGCCAUGGGCAGGUUGAAGGUUGGGUAACACUAACUGGAGGACCGAACCGACUAAUGUUGAAAAAUUAGCGGAUGACCUGUGGCUGGGGGUGAAAGGCCAAUCAAACCGGGAGAUAGCUGGUUCUCCCCGAAAGCUAUUUAGGUAGCGCCUCGUGAAUUCAUCUCCGGGGGUAGAGCACUGUUUCGGCUAGGGGGCCAUCCCGGCUUACCAACCCGAUGCAAACUGCGAAUACCGGAGAAUGUUAUCACGGGAGACACACGGCGGGUGCUAACGUCCGUCGUGAAGAGGGAAACAACCCAGACCGCCAGCUAAGGUCCCAAAGUCAUGGUUAAGUGGGAAACGAUGUGGGAAGGCCCAGACAGCCAGGAUGUUGGCUUAGAAGCAGCCAUCAUUUAAAGAAAGCGUAAUAGCUCACUGGUCGAGUCGGCCUGCGCGGAAGAUGUAACGGGGCUAAACCAUGCACCGAAGCUGCGGCAGCGACACUGUGUGUUGUUGGGUAGGGGAGCGUUCUGUAAGCCUGUGAAGGUGUGUCGUGAGGCAUGCUGGAGGUAUCAGAAGUGCGAAUGCUGACAUAAGUAACGAUAAAGCGGGUGAAAAGCCCGCUCGCCGGAAGACCAAGGGUUCCUGUCCAACGUUAAUCGGGGCAGGGUGAGUCGACCCCUAAGGCGAGGCCGAAAGGCGUAGUCGAUGGGAAACGGGUUAAUAUUCCCGUACUUGGUGUUACUGCGAAGGGGGGACGGAGAAGGCUAUGUUGGCCGGGCGACGGUUGUCCCGGUUUAAGCGUGUAGGUGUGUGUUCCAGGUAAAUCCGGUUCACUUUAACACUGAGGCGUGACGACGAGGCACUACGGUGCUGAAGCAACAAAUGCCCUGCUUCCAGGAAAAGCCUCUAAGCAUCAGGUAACAUCAAAUCGUACCCCAAACCGACACAGGUGGUCAGGUAGAGAAUACCAAGGCGCUUGAGAGAACUCGGGUGAAGGAACUAGGCAAAAUGGUGCCGUAACUUCGGGAGAAGGCACGCUGACACGUAGGUGAAGUGAUUUACUCAUGGAGCUGAAGUCAGUCGAAGAUACCAGCUGGCUGCAACUGUUUAUUAAAAACACAGCACUGUGCAAACACGAAAGUGGACGUAUACGGUGUGACGCCUGCCCGGUGCCGGAAGGUUAAUUGAUGGGGUCAGCGCAAGCGAAGCUCCUGAUCGAAGCCCCGGUAAACGGCGGCCGUAACUAUAACGGUCCUAAGGUAGCGAAAUUCCUUGUCGGGUAAGUUCCGACCUGCACGAAUGGCGUAAUGAUGGCCAGGCUGUCUCCACCCGAGACUCAGUGAAAUUGAACUCGCUGUGAAGAUGCAGUGUACCCGCGGCAAGACGGAAAGACCCCGUGAACCUUUACUAUAGCUUGACACUGAACAUUGAGCCUUGAUGUGUAGGAUAGGUGGGAGGCUUUGAAGUGUGGACGCCAGUCUGCAUGGAGCCGACCUUGAAAUACCACCCUUUAAUGUUUGAUGUUCUAACGUGGACCCGUUACCCGGGUUGCGGACAGUGUCUGGUGGGUAGUUUGACUGGGGCGGUCUCCUCCUAAAGAGUAACGGAGGAGCACGAAGGUUGGCUAAUCCUGGUCGGACAUCAGGAGGUUAGUGCAAUGGCAUAAGCCAGCUUGACUGCGAGCGUGACGGCGCGAGCAGGUGCGAAAGCAGGUCAUAGUGAUCCGGUGGUUCUGAAUGGAAGGGCCAUCGCUCAACGGAUAAAAGGUACUCCGGGGAUAACAGGCUGAUACCGCCCAAGAGUUCAUAUCGACGGCGGUGUUUGGCACCUCGAUGUCGGCUCAUCACAUCCUGGGGCUGAAGUAGGUCCCAAGGGUAUGGCUGUUCGCCAUUUAAAGUGGUACGCGAGCUGGGUUUAGAACGUCGUGAGACAGUUCGGUCCCUAUCUGCCGUGGGCGCUGGAGAACUGAGGGGGGCUGCUCCUAGUACGAGAGGACCGGAGUGGACGCAUCACUGGUGUUCGGGUUGUCAUGCCAAUGGCACUGCCCGGUAGCUAAAUGCGGAAGAGAUAAGUGCUGAAAGCAUCUAAGCACGAAACUUGCCCCGA
Molecule: ribosomal RNA, 2146 nt
Filed under: Salmonella enterica subsp. enterica serovar Enteritidis
Lineage: Bacteria; Pseudomonadati; Pseudomonadota; Gammaproteobacteria; Enterobacterales; Enterobacteriaceae
Description: partial 23S ribosomal RNA
Rfam family: Bacterial large subunit ribosomal RNA
Source: RNAcentral